RNAcentral lists this ribosomal RNA (445 nucleotides) under uncultured bacterium. RNAcentral describes it as "bacterial SSU rRNA". It matches the Rfam family "Bacterial small subunit ribosomal RNA", at positions 329 to 792 of the family's 1533-position model. The record is from RNAcentral.
AUCCAGACUCCUACGGGAGGCAGCAGUGGGGAAUAUUGCACAAUGGGGGAAACCCUGAUGCAGCGACGCCGCGUGAGUGAAGAAGUAAUUCGUUAUGUAAAGCUCUAUCAGCAGGGAAGAAAAUGACGGUACCUGAGUAAGAAGCCCCGGCUAACUCCGUGCCAGCAGCCGCGGUAAUACGGAGGAUGCGAGCGUUAUCCGGAUUUAUUGGGUUUAAAGGGUGCGCAGGCGGCGAGUUAAGUCAGCGGUAAAAUUUGGGGCCUCACCCCCGACGAGCCGUUGAAACUGGCUUGCUAGAGUGGGCGAGAAGUAUGCGGAAUGCGUGGUGUAGCGGUGAAAUGCAUAGAUAUCACGCAGAACUCCGAUUGCGAAGGCAGCAUACCGGCGCCCAACUGACGCUCAGGCACGAAAGCGUGGGUAUCGAACAGGAUUAGAUACCCGGGUA